AGCAGCCGCGGUAAUUCCAGCUCCAAUAGCGUAUAUUAAAGUUGUUGCAGUUAAAAAGCUCGUAGUUGAAUUUCGGGAUCAGUACGCCGGUCGUGCCUCCGGUAUGUACUGGUGUCACUGGUUCCUCCCUUCUGAAGAACCAUCAUGCUAUUAAUUUAGUGUGGUGGGAAAUCAGGACUGUUACUUUGAAAAAAUUAGAGUGUUUAAAGCAGGCUCACGCUUGAAUACAUUAGCAUGGAAUAAUGAAAUAGGACGUUGAUCCUAUUUUGUUGGUUUCUAGGAUUGACGUAAUGAUUAAUAGGGAUAGUUGGGGGCAUUAGUAUUCAAUUGUCAGAGGUGAAAUUCUUGGAUUUAUUGAAGACUAACUACUGCGAAAGCAUUUGCCAAGGAUGUUUCCAUUAAUCAAGAACGAAAGUUAGGGGAUCGAAGACGAUCAGAUACCGUCGUAGU
Molecule: ribosomal RNA, 450 nt
Filed under: uncultured Glomeromycotina
Lineage: Eukaryota; Fungi; Glomeromycota
Description: SSU rRNA
Rfam family: Eukaryotic small subunit ribosomal RNA
Source: RNAcentral